AUUGAACGCUGGCGGCAUGCUUUACACAUGCAAGUCGAACGGCAGCGCGGGCUUCGGCCUGGCGGCGAGUGGCGAACGGGUGAGUAAUGCAUCGGAACGUGCCCAGUAGUGGGGGAUAGCCCGGCGAAAGCCGGAUUAAUACCGCAUACGACCUGAGGGUGAAAGCGGGGGACCGAAAGGCCUCGCGCUAUUGGAGCGGCCGAUGUCGGAUUAGCUAGUUGGUGGGGUAAAGGCUUACCAAGGCGACGAUCCGUAGCUGGUCUGAGAGGACGACCAGCCACACUGGGACGGAGACACGGCCCAGACCCCUAGGGGAGGCAGCGGUGGGGAAUUUUGGAAAAGGGGGGAAACCCUGACCCAGCCAUGCCGGGUGGGGGAAGAAGGCCUUCGGGUUGUAAACCGCUUUUGUUGGGGAAGAAAUCCUCUGGGCUAAAACCCGGGGGGGAUGGCGGUACCGGAAGAAUAAGCACCGGCUAACUACGU
Molecule: ribosomal RNA, 483 nt
Filed under: uncultured bacterium
Lineage: Bacteria
Description: partial 16S ribosomal RNA
Rfam family: Bacterial small subunit ribosomal RNA
Source: RNAcentral